Molecule: small nuclear RNA, 195 nt
Filed under: Thermothelomyces thermophilus ATCC 42464
Lineage: Eukaryota; Fungi; Ascomycota; Sordariomycetes; Sordariales; Chaetomiaceae
Description: Myceliophthora thermophila ATCC 42464 U2 spliceosomal RNA
Rfam family: U2 spliceosomal RNA
About the family: U2 is a small nuclear RNA (snRNA) component of the spliceosome (involved in pre-mRNA splicing).
Source: Rfam by way of RNAcentral
UUAGCUCUCUUUGCCUUUUGGCUUAGAUCAAGUGUAGUAUCUGUUCUUUUCAGUUUAAUCUCUGAAACUACUCUACGGAGUAGAUUUUGUGAUUAAAUUAAUUUUUGUCACCCGAGACUCGGUUCCCUCGGCUUGCCGAGCCCGAGACUCACCGUGUCUCCGGUAUCACACUGCCUCCGGAUGACGCAAAUGCCU